GAAAUAACUGAAAUGAGCAGGUUUAAGGAUUGCUGGUUUCCGUUUCAGUCUUUGUCAACUAGAUCAUGAGUCUUUCGACGGCAGGUACUGCUGUGUGUCUUCUGCCUGGGUGCCUGGAGUGGGGUGGUGUAAUAACUGAAUAAGCGCUGACGCUGCGCCGCGGGCCUGCCUCACUGCUUUCCUAGACGCGCUUGUGUGCAGCCAGGCAGGCGUUUUGAAGACUGUCCUUCGCUGCUGCUGUAGGACCACGCGUUUUCUGCGGCUGGAUGCUGGCGUCUCCCAGGAUCAGCUGCAUGAUGUAAAGAAACAGAAGAGAAGAAUCAGAGGCAGAAGGACAGAUGUCUGUCGUGCGUUUGUCUCAGCAACUCACACAGCACUUCUGAGGCUAAACUCGGGCUUUCUGGCACGUGACCUAACCUGAUACCAUGCUCCUUGAGCUGACCUGAAAGUCACCAUCAAGAGCCGAAUAGGCUGGUUUCCCAUGAGAAUGCUGCCCCUUCCACAAGCCCACCUCCUCAGAGCUGCAGGCAUUUUCAGGCCUCAUUAAGCCUCCUCAUGGAGUAAGUUGUCUUGGCCUGGACCAGAUGGACUCCCUGAGGAGAUUUGGCUAAAACAUCUUCUCCUGAACGUCUGAAGCUCCCAUGCUCACAGGCACCCAUCUGUUCCUCUUGUAAAUGCAUCUCAGCCAUUGUGUUUGGAAUGAUCUGGAAUUUUCACUGCAAAUGAAAUAUCCCUGCCCCAUUUCCUCUGACACCCAAUUCCCACUUUCACGAGUGUUUGGUUUGCUGGGCAGACAGACUUCAGAGUGACAGUACUUUGGAUUUUCGUGUCAGAUUGUAGCACCUGAAUCCUGCCAUUCACCCUCCCGUUCUCCAGCCUCCUGAGUCAAGCUUGCUGUAUGAAUAAGGACAAAGACUAAAUGGAAAAUGCAGAAAGGCUUAGAUGGAAAUCCAUUUCUCUUGGAAUGCUAUAUAGUCCCCCUCUAGGGUUUUUUCUCUUUUGGAUAAUUUUGAACCAGUGGAUUCGUUAUAUAUGACUUUUUUUGACUGGCUUAUUUCACUUAGUAUAAAGUUUUCAAGACUGA
This is a long non-coding RNA of Bubalus bubalis (water buffalo), 1084 nucleotides long. RefSeq lists it as uncharacterized. Lineage: Eukaryota; Metazoa; Chordata; Mammalia; Artiodactyla; Bovidae. The record is from RefSeq and is a predicted model, not a curated record. The transcript is spliced from 3 exons.